CUAUAAUCUGUGUGCUCCAAUCUGCUGCACAAGAAAGAAGAACGUCUUCACUCUCACAAUUUUGAUAAAGGCUGGAAGUGAGGCAGGGAAGAGGACCUGUGAUGAAAUCUUAACUGUCAUUUGCAGACAGGGAUUGCCCCUCAGCUGGGAGACUAUUUUGUGAAUACUUUCACACGGAUGGUGAGGUAAGAAUAUGGCUCCACCAAGAAGGAUCUUUCCACAGUGUCAGCUGAGUCAGAUAACAAGCUCCCUAAGGAGUCCAUCCCUCCCAGGCAAUACUUUCCUGUUCCUCCUGCAUUUGGAAGACUUCCUAGCCCAAGGUUGGAGGAAUUGUGCUCAUGUCUUGUUCCACCUGCAAAAAGGUAUUGAAGUGGAAAAAACCUCCAUUUUACUCUGUCCUUCAUCUCUGAAGCACAUCAAAGCCUGAGUGAAUUCUCUGUGUGAACGGAGGAAGAGAAGCACCGGAUGACAGUAUUGGGCUGCUAUUUAGACAAAGUAGAAGAGGAAUAGGUCUGAACCAUCAGCCUGUACUUGGCUUAUGUCUAAAUUCACUGUUCAACAGGAACACAGCUGCAAAAACUUAUAUGGACACAUUUGCUUGGGAAGGUAACCAACCACCAUGGACUCCUUUAUCAUUUGCUGUCAAAAGAAGAGAUGGAGCUUAUCCUAAGGAAGUAAAAAGGAAAGACCUAAAUAUUAAAAGUAGGUGCUAAAUAGAGAGCUGACAUGAGUUCAUCCUCCAAAGGGUACCAGAUUGCCCAAAAAGAUAGUUCUCAGCAUCAGUAGAAAUCAUGGAUAUGUCAGAUAAUGGAAAUGGUCUUCACUGGGAACUACAACUUCCAGUUUUCCAGUUGACAAUAUGAGUUGAAUACUUGGGUAAUUUACUUGAUAUUUUAUUGACAAAUUAUUUUUACAUAUCUAGUAAAUCAAAAUUUUUCUCUGAAGUUUUGAGCUAUUAUUUCUAAUCCUUGUGAUAUACCCCAAGUAAUAAAAACACUUUUUGAAGUCA
Long non-coding RNA from Melospiza melodia melodia, 1009 nucleotides. RefSeq lists it as uncharacterized. The record is from RefSeq and is a predicted model, not a curated record. NCBI's taxonomy places the organism in Eukaryota, Metazoa, Chordata, Aves, Passeriformes, Passerellidae. The transcript is spliced from 4 exons.